Long non-coding RNA from Amphimedon queenslandica, 647 nucleotides. RefSeq lists it as uncharacterized. The transcript has 6 exons. The record is from RefSeq and is a predicted model, not a curated record. Lineage: Eukaryota; Metazoa; Porifera; Demospongiae; Haplosclerida; Niphatidae.
CAAUGUCUAAUGCCCUCCCUACAUUAGAUUGAUGAUGCUGUUAUUGUCAAAUUAGAUGAAGACGUUGUCCUUGUUCCCUGAGCUACCUGAGGCUGACAGGAUUAGAUUCAAAACACAGUAUCAAGAAAUAUUAGUGGGUGAUUAUGAGGUUGACAGCCUUGAGAGGUUGGUAUUACCAUCUUCUAUUGAGAGGGAAAGGAGGAAGAGUAAUUUUGAACAUUAUAAGGAUACCACACUCUCAGCCUUGUUUCUGGAGCUAAUGGUUAGAGUUUUUGAGUAAGUUACGUAGGAUGAUAAAGAUAAUUGAAGAACCACUCCAGGGUAGGAUAGGUUUACUGAGGUCUGGUUUAUAUGAUGUCCUCCCUACUACUAUUGGAAGGUUUGGCUCCUGAGGAUUUGAGGCUUUUGCUCUGUGGGUGUCAGCAGGUUGAACUUGAUGUACUCAAAUAGAUAACAACUUUCACCGACGAGACUCGUAGAUGUAUUCAGAAGAUAUUGAAAGUGUGGCCACAGACCAGUGUCCCACCCCCUCAGAUUCACUACUUGAUGUUAUCACCAAUCCCAGUACAGAUUGGACUCAAUAGGUCAAUGGAAAUGAAAGAGAGGGACAGAAUGGGGACAUCAAAUUCAGUGAGUAGUGAACAAUA